AAAUUUAGGUUCACUAACCAAAGGGCCUUCAAAGCCCUAAACAGGGCCACAUGCCCUAACUUUUG
Molecule: transfer RNA, 65 nt
Filed under: Lygodactylus nyaneka
Lineage: Eukaryota; Metazoa; Chordata; Lepidosauria; Squamata; Gekkonidae
Description: tRNA-Trp
Source: RNAcentral